UACAGAGGUCUCAAGCGUUGUUCGGAAUCACUGGGCGUAAAGCGCACGUAGGCGGAUUGUUAAGUCAGGGGUGAAAUCCUGGAGCUCAACUCCAGAACUGCCUUUGAUACUGGCGAUCUCGAGUCCGGGAGAGGUGAGUGGAACUGCGAGUGUAGAGGUGAAAUUCGUAGAUAUUCGCAAGAACACCAGUGGCGAAGGCGGCUCACUGGCCCGGUACUGACGCUGAGGUGCGAAAGCGUGGGGAGCAAACAGG
This 253-nucleotide ribosomal RNA is filed under the name uncultured bacterium. RNAcentral describes it as "partial 16S ribosomal RNA". It matches the Rfam family "Bacterial small subunit ribosomal RNA", at positions 524 to 776 of the family's 1533-position model. The record is from RNAcentral.